Numida meleagris (helmeted guineafowl) is the source of this 991-nucleotide long non-coding RNA. RefSeq lists it as uncharacterized. NCBI's taxonomy places the organism in Eukaryota, Metazoa, Chordata, Aves, Galliformes, Numididae. The transcript is spliced from 3 exons. The record is from RefSeq and is a predicted model, not a curated record.
CUGAGGUUUAGCUGCCUUUGCUCAAGGCCAUACCUGAUCUGGUGCAACUGUGUGAACCAUGGUCAGAGUACUGCAAAAAGAGCUCAGAGAGAAAGGACCAUGAGAAACCUGUUUGGCAACUUGCUACUCUGCACGAGAGGAUGCUUAUCUUUGUCUUUGCCAGAGCUAUGUGGCAGCUCUACCUGUGGUCAGCCAUGUCUUACCGGUCCUGACUUGUGGACCUGACUUUCCAGCUUGACCUUGGACAUGCCCUGGGCUAUGCGUGCCUGGAUGUACUACAGUCCAAAGAAGGGAUGUCUUGAAGCUUUUUCUAUUGGCAAUGCCAACAAGCACUGCCCUGAAGACAUAGAAGCAGCUGUCAGCAUCUGUAAGCUUCCUGUAGAAAGUGGCAGAGAAUCUUCUUAGUAUGCUGAUUAACUUGCUACAAAGGCAUAGUGUUUUAAUGGCAUAAUUUAAAGGGCUCCAUGUGAAUGCAAAGCACCUGGAAUUUGUAACUCACUUGAUAAAUGAUCAUAAGCACAAGAAAUUAUGGGUGAUUAUAUGCUUCAAGAUGUUCUUUAACUCAGAAAUUACAGUACAGUGAUUAUUUAAAUAGAAAGUAUGGGUAAAUUCUAUUUUUUGUUCGCCUUUAAUUGUCAAAUAGUUAUACAGGUUUUGACAGUAAUCUCUGCAGGUGACAGUUGCCAGAAUGUCAACAUACACAAGAAUUUACAGCUGAUAUAUUUGUACUGUAGUAUCACGUGUAUAAUGAGUUUAAAGUACUUUGGAUGUAUUAACCAGCACCCUUCUGACCACACGAACCAUUAUCCUUCUAGGCAUCGAGCACCACCUGAAGUUCCAAACCUUUCUAGCUUGCUUUAUUUUUUCCCUCAGGCUUUUCUAGAAGAAGAUGAUGCUUCAGACAAAGCAGUCCUUGUGUUUUCUUAUACCUUUGUGAGCAGCCAGCUGUAUGUAGCCAGAACUCUCUUUUCUCUCCUUCUUGAGGGAUGCA